This 328-nucleotide ribosomal RNA is filed under the name uncultured eukaryote. RNAcentral describes it as "partial 18S ribosomal RNA". It matches the Rfam family "Eukaryotic small subunit ribosomal RNA", at positions 1470 to 1796 of the family's 1831-position model. The record is from RNAcentral.
CCCUUAGAUGUUCUGGGCUGCACGCGCGCUACACUGAAGCGUUCAACGAGCUUAUAACCUUGGCCGAGAGGCCUGGGCAAUCUUGUUAACGUGCAUCGUGAUUGGGAUAGAUUAUUGAAAUUAUUAAUCUUGAACGAGGAAUUCCUAGUAAACGCAGAUCAUCAAUCUGCAUUGAUUACGUCCCUGCCCUUUGUACACACCGCCCGUCGCACCUACCGAUUGGAUGGUCCGGUGAAGCCUCGGGAUUGUGGUUCUUGCCGCUUUAUUGUGGCGUGACCGCGAGAACUUGUCUAAACCUUAUCAUCUAGAGGAAGGUGAAGUCGUAACA